Molecule: ribosomal RNA, 433 nt
Filed under: uncultured bacterium
Lineage: Bacteria
Description: partial 16S ribosomal RNA
Rfam family: Bacterial small subunit ribosomal RNA
Source: RNAcentral
AACGAACGCUGGCGGCAUGCCUAACACAUGCAAGUCGAACGAGACCUUCGGGUCUAGUGGCGCACGGGUGCGUAACGCGUGGGAACCUGCCCUUAGGUUCGGACUAACUCCCCGAAAGGGGUGCUAAUACCGGAUAAUGUCUUCGGCCCAAAGAUUUAUCGCCUUUGGAUGGGCCCGCGUUGGAUUAGCUAGUUGGUAGGGUAAAAGCCUACCAAGGCGACGAUCCAUAGCUGGUCUGAGAGGAUGAUCAGCCACACUGGGACUGAGACACGGCCCAGAAUCCUACGGGAGGCAGCAGUGGGGAAUAUUGGAAAAUGGGCGAAAGCCUGAUCCAGCAAGGCCGCGUGAGUGAUGAAGGCCGUAGGGUUGUAAAGCUCUUUUACCCGGGAUGAUAAUGACAGUACCGGGAGAAUAAGCUCCGGCUAACUCCGUG